RNA transcript from Helianthus annuus (common sunflower), 4744 nucleotides. RefSeq lists it as uncharacterized. NCBI's taxonomy places the organism in Eukaryota, Viridiplantae, Streptophyta, Magnoliopsida, Asterales, Asteraceae. The record is from RefSeq and is a predicted model, not a curated record. The transcript is spliced from 3 exons.
UAAAACCCUGCAACUUUUCGUAUCUCUGUAGUAGGCCUGCUAUUCCCAAAAAAAAAUGGAAACCCUAGAAGACGAACAAUCAACGAUUACAGAUGAUCGAUCCAAAAAUUCAUUCCCUGAGGAACUCAUCGAAGAUAUCCUUUCCAGACUCCCCGUGAAAUCCAUCCUCCGAUUCAAAUCUGUCUCUAAACCAUGGCUAUCGCUCAUCUCCGCUCCAUCAUUCCACAACCUCCACUCCACCGUUGCCCCCCGUACCACCGCUUUCUUUUUUACUGCUCGCGAUUUAUCCACUGGCACACGAUACUUCUUCUCCGGUGCUAAUGACGGUGGAUCAGUCGCUAAUCUCAUGAAGCUCGACAACACUGUCUUGGAAGCCCAUUAUCAUGCCGAACAUUUGAACGGGCUUGUAUGUUUUACUUCCCACACUAGUCGUUUUGGUAAAAUUUACGCUUUCCUUUUUAACCCUAGUACGCAUAAGUUUUUCAAACUUCCUGAUCCUCCGGUUUCUUUACCCAAUUACACUGCUGAAGAGAAGGAUACAUGUUACUUGUUUGGGUUUGAUGAAUUAACUAAUGAACACAAGGUUUUGUACAUCACUGUUCAGUUGACUACAAUUGAGAUUAUGAUUUUCUCCUUCUCAAAUUACUCAUGGAGAAAGAUCAAUGUGGAUGUUCCUGUUGGUGUGGCUGUCUGGCGUUGGUGGUUUGGCACCAAAAAGAGUGUUUGUGUCAAUAGCACCGUACAUCUUUUGCUUCGAAAUCCACUUCAAAUUUUGGCAUUUGAUUUAACAACUGAAACGUUUUCCAUUUUUAACAUGCAUCCAGAGGCGGCUCCCGAAACUAUAUCAAAUACCAUAUGUCCAUUUGCACAGUUCGUAAAAAUCAAUGGAUUAUUAGGUGUAGCUUGUUACGAUCCCUCGAUCGUGAACCGAAGAAACAAAAUGGACAUUUGGAUGUUGCAAGAUUAUCAGAAUCGAGUUUGGGUCAGAGAAACCAUUUCGUUCGCUUCCAAGUCUCAGAUCCCUUAUGGGGCACGUGGCCCUUACCCGUUUGAUUCUAUCACUAUGGACGAGAUUAUCUUUAGCCCAAGGGUGUUGUCUGAGAAUUUGAUCAGUGUUCCCAUCUAUAACCUGAAGAAUAGAUGUUUUAAAUCAACUGAACUCACUCUUGGUCAUCGAUUUCUAUCCCCAAAAUCAGUGAGGGUGGAGGAAAUCAAGUGUUAUGUUGAAAGCCUCAUUCCCUUACAGAACUAGCAUGCAUUCAUUUCUGGAAUUCAGGUUCGCAUUUUGUUGCUAUCUUGUUAAUGAACAUGUACUUGUAAAGUUUCUGCUGAUGCUGCUCUUAUGUUAAAUAGUAUUCGGAAUCUUGUAUCCCUAUGCAAAUUUUGCUGUGUGAAAUGCUAACAAUCUGCUUUACAAGAUCAACACAAGUUGUUCCCUAUUUGCAUCGUGUAUUUGAGUCGAGAGAUCAUAGGCUUGUUUAUCUCAGUUUAUCAUACAUGACACGGCGUGAGCUCAAAUGCCAUAUGCUCAUGUAUGACAGUCUCGUAUAUAUAGUGGCAAUUUUGGGGUUUAAUAAAGCUACUAAGGGAAUAUGUCAAACAGGUAAAAAAUUGUCUGAAAGUAUAUUGUGUUGAAUCCAAUUUCUAAUUUUCUUUUAAUAAAAAAAUUUAUUAUUGGGGGUAAAUUGCAUUUCUAAUUUUCUAUAAUAAAAAAAUAGAUUAUUAUUGGAGGGUAAAUUGCAUAAAUUAGCAACUAAUUUACAAAAGUAUUUUUUUAAUCGUUGUAGUUUUUAUUGUUUGUUUUUUUUGGGUAAAGGGUUACCCCGGUGAUAUGUCCUAUCAUGGCCGUUAAAGGUAUGCUUUUAUGUUAUUAUUACAUGAUUUUGGUCAUGAAAGCAUGUCUUCUGCCUCGUCACAUGUAUGUUUCACAUAAUUUAUCUGGAGGUGGUUACUAGGUGAGGUAAGAAAUGAAUGGGUCGGCUUCUGGGUUAGUUUUAGUACCGUGCGAAAUGGUUGGGGGAUCCACAAACCAAUUUUUUGUUAUUUUUUAAAGCAAUAUGAAUAGGAAGAUCUAAGCAUAAAAAGAAAAAUCGGGGUGAUUUUCAACCUGUUUGACGAGUUUUCAUUCAGCCAAAACUUUUUAUUUGACCCAUUUGAUGUAUAGAUUUGGGUCCACAUCAGCAGCUUGCCGCACCUAUUUACGUUUGUUUGCCUUGAUCCCAGGAUGUUUCAUUCAUCCCAGGAUGUUUCUUGUUUGUUUGUGUGCCUUGAUCACUGGAUGUUUCUUUUAUUUUCUUUUUUCUUUUCAAGUUUCAUGCAUUCUAUUAUUUUUGCCGCCUAAGUCUAGGUUUAGAAAAGAUAUGGAGAUCAUGGAUUUUUUUAUUUAAAGCUCAAUGGAAUGAAAAGGGGGCACUUGCGGCUACCCAAGCUUCACGCAUCCAACUACCCAAGCUUUACUAACGCCCCUCACUACAAGAAAGUUGGCUUUUAGCGAUGACCCCUUUAGCGGCGACAUCAAAGAAGUCGUCGCUAAAAGGCCAAUCCGUGUCCAGGUUCUAAAACAAAUCCUUGACCGUUGAUCUUGUGUGCAAUAUGACGGUCCAUGUUUUAUUGUUGCUUUAGGUGUACAAAACCUGUGGCGGGCAAACCAAUCACUCAUUCCCCCCAAAUCGAUCCACCAGCCCUACCCCAAACCCAAGAUGCCGCCAGAUUGAUUCAACUCGGCCACAGCCGUUCGCUCGCCGCCACAAUCUGCAGCGUUCGGAGUCAUCUCACAUAUCCUCAGCCGCUUGCUCGACGCACCAUGUCCACUGCACCAGAUUGUAAUGUCUCUGUGUGCCACAUACCCUCUGCCAUUACACCUCACAGGCGCCCCAUUUUAUCUCUACACUUGCAUUUGCAUGUUUCUCAACAGAUUGAAGGUUAAUGGUGCUUAGGUCUGUUUUACCAGUGACGGAGAGGAAGAAGAGCCGCCGCAAUGGCUCCGGCCACGGCUUCUCUGCCGUCUUUAACGCCACCUCUCUUCCACCCUAAACAUCUGCAAGUCGCUGAUUAUAUUUAAAUCAAACCUAGAUGAGACGAAGAGAAAGAAGAACGGAAAAAACGGCAGGUAUUUAUUUCUUUGUUUUUGAAAUCGAGAUUCAUAAAAAUUCUGUCACACCGCUGCUGACAGGUAAAACCUAGCCAUAGUUUUUUACGUAAUUUUAUAUAAAUUCAUUUCAGUUUCAUACAUAGAUAGUUAGGGUUUGGGCGAGUUCGAGGUAUACUCUCUGUACAUUUCUUCAUUUUUCCUCUCUCUACAUAUAUGUGUAUUUAUGUUUUUUAGUUUUGAUAUUUGUUUGUGAUUGUAUAAUUUAUAUUUAUUGGAUCCAUAUUUGUUGAUUUGAUUAUUUUUGUUGUUAUGAAUGAAGAUCUUCUAUACAGGGAUUACCAGGGAGAUCAUAAGUUCACCAUCACCACCUAUUCAUCUACUGGAGUUGUCAGUUGUCUGUUUAAUUACUCAAUGUUUCUUUAUUGUUGUUAGCAUGUUACUGCGUGUGAUUGUAGCUUUUUGUUUUAUGAGUUUGUUAAGUUUUAUAUACACACUAUAUUUUCUUAAAGUUGAAAAUGUUAGGGUUUGGUUUUAUUCGUUGUUAUAUAAUAAUUUUUGAGCAUUAGAAUGAAUUUGGAGAAUAGAGAUAACAUAGGGUUUUGAAAGUCGUCAUAUGGUGUUUGAAUUGCAAGUGUUGUAAAUACUAUAGUUUCAGUUUGGGUUAUGAGUUAUGAUGAUUUAUGGUUUUUGUGAAGUAUCUAUUGAUUUUAGUGUUUAUGCUGUUUUAUACAGGCUUCUACAGAGGCAGCAUCGGAAAAGAAGUGGACACUUUAAUGAUCUUGACACCGGGAAGCCGCUUGGAAGGGGAAAGUUUGGCCAUGUGUAUAUUGCUAGGGAAAAGAGGGUAUUGUUUCAUUGGCUUAAGGCGCAUGUGGAAGAAUAGAAUAGAAAAGCUAGCGAAAGGAGUCCAUGUUGGUUAUAUGUAUUUCAUGUUCCACUCAAGCAACUGGUAGUUUCAAAUCUAUUAAAGACGAACAAACAAUUGUCGUUCCCCAGUCUAUCAACGAGGAUAAAGAACCCAAAAGCUUAUGUGGAGAAAAGCUAGCGAAGGGAGACCAUGUUGGGUUUGCAUUCCAGAGUUGGGUGGGCUAUGGAUUUCCAUUUGACAGAGGUGAUAUCUUUCACACCAUCAAUCCUUUACGCAAAAGGAAAUUCAAUUAGCGUGCCCUUGAGGUAACGCCUGUAACGUGUUUGUGUAGAUGUUUGAUAGAAUAUGCCCAGAUUGUCUUACCUUUUUUUUUUCUUUUUUAAUUAAUUAGCUUCUUUAUUUUACUGUAAUAUUGGGUGUCUUAGGAGGAUGUGACAGUUCAAACAUAUACACCUCUGAUCACCAUUGGUUUUGCUCACUAGGUCUUCGAAUGUGGCUGUAAAAUCUUGCAAACCCUUUUAUCAUGGAAGUGAGGAGUUAUCACUUAUGAUUCAGAUUCACCUUGCCCUUCGAAAUGCAACUUUUGAUUUCAUUGUUGAAUAUGAUCAUUUUAUUUAUUGGCUACAAUGAAACAGCAGGUUACCUAGAACCCCGCCGCAACGCGACAGGUGGUUCUACUAGUUAUUAUAACAAAUAUUGUCAGAGAAAAAUUGUUUGUGUAGGGUUUAGUAAUAUCCACGUCAGACAUAUACAACUUAUGUGAUGAGUUUAUAUACUGCUAGGUG